GGCUGGUUAGCUCAGUUGGUUAGAGCGUGGUGCUGAUAACGCCAAGGUCGCAGGUUUGAUCCCCGCUUGGUCCU
RNAcentral lists this transfer RNA (74 nucleotides) under Apaloderma vittatum (bar-tailed trogon). It matches the Rfam family "tRNA". Rfam says of the family: Transfer RNA (tRNA) molecules are approximately 80 nucleotides in length. Their secondary structure includes four short double-helical elements and three loops (D, anti-codon, and T loops). Further hydrogen bonds mediate the characteristic L-shaped molecular structure. tRNAs have two regions of fundamental functional importance: the anti-codon, which is responsible for specific mRNA codon recognition, and the 3' end, to which the tRNAs corresponding amino acid is attached (by aminoacyl-tRNA synthetases). tRNAs cope with the degeneracy of the genetic code in two manners: having more than one tRNA (with a specific anti-codon) for a particular amino acid; and 'wobble' base-pairing, i.e. permitting non-standard base-pairing at the 3rd anti-codon position. The record is from Rfam by way of RNAcentral. Lineage: Eukaryota; Metazoa; Chordata; Aves; Trogoniformes; Trogonidae.